This 579-nucleotide ribosomal RNA is filed under the name uncultured bacterium. RNAcentral describes it as "bacterial SSU rRNA". It matches the Rfam family "Bacterial small subunit ribosomal RNA", at positions 347 to 916 of the family's 1533-position model. The record is from RNAcentral.
GGCAGCAGUGGGGAAUUUUUGUCAAUGGGGGAAACCCUGAACAAGCAACGCCGCGUGAAGGACGAAGACCUUCGGGUUGUAAACUUCUGUCGGAGGGGACGAAGGCGGUAUUGGUUAAUACCCAGUAUCGUUGACGGUACCCUACGAGGAAGCCCCGGCUAACUCCGUGCCAGCAGCCGCGGUAAUACGGGGGGGGCAAGCGUUGUUCGGAAUUACUGGGCGUAAAGGGCGCGCAGGCGGGCGAGACAGUCUUUCGUGAAAUCCCACGGCUCAACCGUGGAACUGCGGGAGAUACUACUCGUCUUGAGUUCGGGAGAGGAGUGUGGAAUUCCCAGUGUAGCGGUGAAAUGCGUAGAUAUUGGGAGGAACACCGGUGGCGAAGGCGGCACUCUGGACCGAUACUGACGCUGAGGCGCGAAAGCUAGGGGAGCAAACGGGAUUAGAUACCCCGGUAGUCCUGGCUGUAAACGCUGAGCACUUGGUGUAGCGGGUAUCGACCCCUGCUGUGCCGAAGCUAACGCAUUAAGUGCUCCGCCUGGGGAGUACGGUCGCAAGGCUGAAACUCACAGGAAUUGACGG